CUUGCUGGGUGGAUUAGUGGCGAACGGGUGAGUAACACGUGAGUAACCUGCCCUUAACUCUGGGAUAAGCCUGGGAAACUGGGUCUAAUACCGGAUAGGAGCGUCCACCGCAUGGUGGGUGUUGGAAAGAUUUAUCGGUUUUGGAUGGACUCGCGGCCUAUCAGCUUGUUGGUGAGGUAAUGGCUCACCAAGGCGACGACGGGUAGCCGGCCUGAGAGGGUGACCGGCCACACUGGGACUGAGACACGGCCCAGACUCCUACGGGAGGCAGCAGUGGGGAAUAUUGCACAAUGGGCGCAAGCCUGAUGCAGCGACGCCGCGUGAGGGAUGACGGCCUUCGGGUUGUAAACCUCUUUCAGUAGGGAAGAAGCGAAAGUGACGGUACCUGCAGAAGAAGCACCGGCUAACUACGUGCCAGCAGCCGCGGUAAUACGUAGGGUGCGAGCGUUAUCCGGAAUUAUUGGGCGUAAAGAGCUCGUAGGCGGUUUGUCGCGUCUGUCGUGAAAGUCCGGGGCUUAACCCCGGAUCUGCGGUGGGUACGGGCAGACUAGAGUGCAGUAGGGGAGACUGGAAUUCCUGGUGUAGCGGUGGAAUGCGCAGAUAUCAGGAGGAACACCGAUGGCGAAGGCAGGUCUCUGGGCUGUAACUGACGCUGAGGAGCGAAAGCAUGGGGAGCGAACAGGAUUAGAUACCCUGGUAGUCCAUGCCGUAAACGUUGGGCACUAGGUGUGGGGACCAUUCCACGGUUUCCGCGCCGCAGCUAACGCAUUAAGUGCCCCGCCUGGGGAGUACGGCCGCAAGGCUAAAACUCAAAGGAAUUGACGGGGGCCCGCACAAGCGGCGGAGCAUGCGGAUUAAUUCGAUGCAACGCGAAGAACCUUACCAAGGCUUGACAUGUUCUCGAUCGCCGUAGAGAUACGGUUUCCCCUUUGGGGCGGGUUCACAGGUGGUGCAUGGUUGUCGUCAGCUCGUGUCGUGAGAUGUUGGGUUAAGUCCCGCAACGAGCGCAACCCUCGUUCCAUGUUGCCAGCACGUAAUGGUGGGGACUCAUGGGAGACUGCCGGGGUCAACUCGGAGGAAGGUGAGGACGACGUCAAAUCAUCAUGCCCCUUAUGUCUUGGGCUUCACGCAUGCUACAAUGGCCGGUACAAUGGGUUGCGAUACUGUGAGGUGGAGCUAAUCCCAAAAAGCCGGUCUCAGUUCGGAUUGGGGUCUGCAACUCGACCCCAUGAAGUCGGAGUCGCUAGUAAUCGCAGAUCAGCAACGC
This 1267-nucleotide ribosomal RNA is filed under the name Micrococcus sp. Its description in RNAcentral is "bacterial SSU rRNA". It matches the Rfam family "Bacterial small subunit ribosomal RNA", at positions 79 to 1357 of the family's 1533-position model. Lineage: Bacteria; Bacillati; Actinomycetota; Actinomycetes; Micrococcales; Micrococcaceae. The record is from RNAcentral.